RNAcentral lists this transfer RNA (63 nucleotides) under Cheilonereis cyclurus. Its description in RNAcentral is "tRNA-Lys". Lineage: Eukaryota; Metazoa; Annelida; Polychaeta; Phyllodocida; Nereididae. The record is from RNAcentral.
UUCUUAGAAGCUUGCAAUAGCGACAAAUUUUUACUUUGUUAAUAGGGUGCCUCCCCUAAGAAA